This 590-nucleotide ribosomal RNA is filed under the name Afipia sp. A8-3. Its description in RNAcentral is "bacterial SSU rRNA". It matches the Rfam family "Bacterial small subunit ribosomal RNA", at positions 9 to 629 of the family's 1533-position model. The record is from RNAcentral. Lineage: Bacteria; Pseudomonadati; Pseudomonadota; Alphaproteobacteria; Hyphomicrobiales; Nitrobacteraceae.
GAGUUUGAUCAUGGCUCAGAGCGAACGCUGGCGGCAGGCUUAACACAUGCAAGUCGAACGGGUACCUUCGGGUGCUAGUGGCAGACGGGUGAGUAACACGUGGGAACGUACCUUUCGGUUCGGGAUAAUCCAGGGAAACUUGGACUAAUACCGGAUACGCCCUUCGGGGGAAAGAUUUAUUGCCGAUAGAUCGGCCCGCGUCUGAUUAGCUAGUUGGUGAGGUAAUGGCUCACCAAGGCGACGAUCAGUAGNCUGGUCUGAGAGGAUGAUCAGCCACACUGGGACUGAUUACACGGCCCANACUCCUACGGGAGGCAGCCANUGGGGGAAUAUUGGACAAUGGGNCGAAAAGCCUGAUCCAAGCCAUGCCGCGUGUGUUGAUGAAGGCCUUAGGGUUGUAAAGCACUUUUGUCCGGGAAGGAUAAUGACUGUACCGGAAGAAAUAAGCCCCGGCCUAACUUCNUGCCANCAGCCGNNGUAAUACNAAGGGGGCUAGCGUUGCUCGGAAUCACUGGGCGUAAAGGGCGCGUNGGCGGACUUUUAAGUCNGGGGGUGAAAAGCCCAGGGCUUCAACCCUGGAAUUGCCUUUC